This 438-nucleotide long non-coding RNA is filed under the name Gadus morhua (Atlantic cod). RNAcentral describes it as "lncRNA (ENSGMOG00000025438.1)". The record is from RNAcentral. Lineage: Eukaryota; Metazoa; Chordata; Actinopteri; Gadiformes; Gadidae.
CAAAACUCCAAAGUGAACCGAUUGUGUCCGUAAGUAAAUCAUGCAUUUUAAUUCAUUACAGAUUGAGAAGUGUCCCAUGAUGCUGCGUGGGCAGACCUCAAUCUUGAGGGUAGCGCAGACAUGUUCCUGUGGCUUUCACCCUCGGCAGUCUGUGAGUAGUCCUGCAGCAUCCAGGCCAGCUACCUCAGCCUCCACUUCAGCUGCCUCAGCCUCCACCUCAGCGGCGCCUGUACAGAGCCCUGGGAGGCCUGCAUUGACACUGUCAAUGUUUGAUAAAGCGCGGUUCGGCGGGACUUUGUCUGCGGCAGCCAGGCCUAAUGUCAACGUGACCAGGAAGCAUGUCGAGGUAAUACAUGUACCUUUAGCUGUGCCUGAUGCCUAAGAAUACAGCCAUUAAGCCAUACACUAUCCUUGUUUUGUAAACUGACUUCAUCAGGU